AUUUUACACGCCGUCGAGAAUCGUGUUCAGCUGCUCAAUAAACUGGAGGAUUUGAAUUUAUCAAGUAAAUCAGGCUUGAUUUCAUUGGUCGAAAGCCUCACCAGCAUGGAGAUCGUUUAAGGACUAUCUAGCAGGAAAAGAAAGCUUCCUGAAGGAAUCGGUAAGGGAAUGGAAUUGCUAACUAAUCGAUUAAAUGUUAUGCACCAGUGUCUCUCACUGUUGGAAGAAAGCCAUGUCGAUUCCUGAGAACUUCAUAAAGAACUUUUGAAUCACCUUUCUGGCCUUGAAGAUGAAAUAUAUCGGUUAAGCAGCCUGGGUGAGAUUGACUAAGCCAGUCUCAAUUCCAAAGUCGGGAAAACCGAGUACUCUGCCCAUGGGUCGGUGAUUUAUGGUUCAGUCCCUGCCAUCCUUC
Molecule: long non-coding RNA, 412 nt
Organism: Cucurbita maxima (winter squash)
Lineage: Eukaryota; Viridiplantae; Streptophyta; Magnoliopsida; Cucurbitales; Cucurbitaceae
Exons: 3
Source: RefSeq, a predicted model, not a curated record